RNAcentral lists this long non-coding RNA (904 nucleotides) under Nicotiana benthamiana. RNAcentral's name for it is "long non-coding RNA (NBEN_LNC009394)". The record is from RNAcentral. Lineage: Eukaryota; Viridiplantae; Streptophyta; Magnoliopsida; Solanales; Solanaceae.
CUUCCAAUCAUUUUAAGUACUUUCACAGGGAAAAUAAACAGUUGAGCCCAUUAUGCUUGAAUUCCAAAGAUGACAGAUUGUACCAGUUGUAGCAUCCCAGAGUAUGAUAGUGUUCUACCAGUCCAAGAAGUGAUCCUGGCUGUGAUUUUUCCGCUAAAGGUUGCCACUGUAGUAGAGUGAUUUUUUUUGGUGCUCAGUGGUACUCCCAGAUACUUGAAAGGCAGUUGGCCUUGUUCAUAGCCAAAGCAAUUCUGCUAAAAGACCUCAUACCCCAGCAAGACAUUGGUAGUUUUGGGAAUUUAACCCACAGUCUAUUUCAGUCGGAAAUUCUUCUGAAUAAUCAAACUCUGGUGUCCAUUGUUUGAGAAUCAUCGGCCUAUUGGCUAUUGAGUAAGGGCCAGUAUUCUUGAAAUCCAAAGAUGACAGAUUGCACCAGUUGUAGCCUCCCAGAGAUGACAGUGUUCUAGCAGUCCAAGAAGUGAUCCUGGCUGUGAUUUUUUCCACUAAAGGUUGCCACUGUAGUAGAGUGAUUUUUUUUGGUGCUCAGUGGUACUCCCAGAUACUUGAAAGGCAGUUGGCCUUGUUCAUAGCCAAGAUGGUCGAGGAUCUGCUUCUGUACAGGUAUUGGUACUCCUCCAAAAUAGACUAAGCUCUUAUUCAAGUUGGCCUUGAGACUUGAGGCUGUAGAGAAUUGGGAGAAGCAGUUGGAUAAUGCCUUGUUAGAUUGGAGGUCUCCCUUGGUAAACAGCAACAAGUCAUUUGCAAAGCACAUAUGUGUAAUGCCCAGUUUUUUACAUCUGGGGUGGAAUUGAUAUGCUGGAUCAGCUUGUAGUACAGUGCAUGACCUGCUUAAAUACUCCAUGACCAAGGCAAAUAGGAAUGGGUAAAUGGGGUCCCCUUGCCU